This 144-nucleotide ribosomal RNA is filed under the name uncultured eukaryote. Its description in RNAcentral is "partial 18S ribosomal RNA". It matches the Rfam family "Eukaryotic small subunit ribosomal RNA", at positions 1299 to 1458 of the family's 1831-position model. The record is from RNAcentral.
UGGUGGAGUGAUUUGUCUGGUUAAUUUCGAUAACGAGCGAGACCUCAGCAUACUAAUUAGAUAUGAGAAUCUCAUGAUUCUUCAUUCAAUAUCUUCUUAGAGGGACUAUCGGUGCGUAGCCGAUGGAAGGUUGAGGCAAUAACA